Molecule: ribosomal RNA, 461 nt
Filed under: uncultured Pseudomonadota bacterium
Lineage: Bacteria; Pseudomonadati; Pseudomonadota
Description: bacterial SSU rRNA
Rfam family: Bacterial small subunit ribosomal RNA
Source: RNAcentral
UGGGGAAUUUUGGACAAUGGGCGCAAGCCUGAUCCAGCCAUGCCGCGUGAGUGAAGAAGGCCUUCGGGUUGUAAAGCUCUUUCGGCGGGGACGAAACGGUCCGUGACAACACCACGGACUAAUGACGGUACUCGCAGAAGAAGCACCGGCUAACUACGUGCCAGCAGCCGCGGUAAUACGUAGGGUGCAGGCGUUAAUCGGAAUUACUGGGCGUAGAGCGUGCGCAGGCGGCUCCUUAAGUCAGAUGUGAAAUCCCCGGGCUUAACCUGGGAACUGCGUUUGAAACUGGGGGGCUUGAGUGUGGCAGAGGGGGGUGGAAUUCCAGGUGUAGCAGUGAAAUGCGUAGAGAUCUGGAGGAACACCGAUGGCGAAGGCAGCCCCCUGGGCUAACACUGACGCUCAUGCACGAAAGCGUGGGGAGCAAACAGGAUUAGAUACCCUGGUAGUCCACGCCCUAAACG